Molecule: ribosomal RNA, 396 nt
Filed under: Conchodytes meleagrinae
Lineage: Eukaryota; Metazoa; Arthropoda; Malacostraca; Decapoda; Palaemonidae
Description: partial 12S ribosomal RNA
Source: RNAcentral
UAAACUAGGGAUUGAUACCCUAUUAUACCAUUUAUUUAAUUAUAUUGCUUGAGUAGUAACCAGUUAUUUUCUUGAAACUUAGAGGAUUUGGCGGUAUUCAAGUCCAGUUAGAGGAACCUGCUCUGUUAACGAUACUCCACGAAUCAUCUUACUUUCACUUGAUUCCAGUAUGUAUACCGCCAUUAGCAUAAUAAUGUUUAUAGAUAUGUAUUAUGAUAAAUUUAAUUUAGUAUAUUAGGUCAAGGUGCAGCUUAUGUGAAAGUUGAAGUGGGUUACAAUACAUUAUAUGUUUGGAUAUUGGGUUUAUAAUACUUUUGAAAUAGGAUUUAAUUGUACUUUCAUUUUAAUAAGGUGAUAUGAUAUUGGCUCUAGAAUAUGUACACUCGCCCGCUCAUA